AGAGUUUGAUCCUGGCUCAGGAUGAACGCUGGCGGCGUGCUUAACACAUGCAAGUCGAACGGGGUUUACGAGAAGCUUGCUUUUUGUAAACCUAGUGGCGGACGGGUGAGUAACGCGUGAGUAACCUGCCUUAGACUGGGGGAUAACACUUAGAAAUAGGUGCUAAUACCGCAUAAGCGCACAGUAUCGCAUGAUACAGUGUGAAAAACUCCGGUGGUCUAAGAUGGACUCGCGUCUGAUUAGCUGGUUGGUGAGGUAACGGCCCACCAAGGCGACGAUCAGUAGCCGGCCUGAGAGGGUGAACGGCCACAUUGGGACUGAGACACGGCCCAAACUCCUACGGGAGGCAGCAGUGGGGGAUAUUGCACAAUGGGCGAAAGCCUGAUGCAGCGACGCCGCGUGAGUGAAGAAGUAUUUCGGUAUGUAAAGCUCUAUCAGCAGGGAAGAAAAUGACGGUACCUGACUAAGAAGCCCCGGCUAACUACGUGCCAGCAGCCGCGGUAAUACGUAGGGGGCAAGCGUUAUCCGGAUUUACUGGGUGUAAAGGGAGCGUAGACGGCGAGGCAAGUCAGAUGUGAAAGGUGUGGGCUCAACUCACAAACUGCAUUUGAAACUGUUUUGCUAGAGUGCAGGAGAGGUAAGUGGAAUUCCUAGUGUAGCGGUGAAAUGCUUAGAUAUUAGGAGGAACACCAGCGGCGAAGGCGGCUUACUGGACUGUAACUGACGUUGAGGCUCGAAAGCGUGGGUAGCAAACAGGAUUAGAUACCCUGGUAGUCCACGCUGUAAACGAUGGAUGCCCGCUGUUGGCGAUAUACAGUCAGCGGCCAAGAGAAAUCGUUAAGCAUCCCACCUGGGGAGUACGCCGGCAACGGUGAAACUCAAAGGAAUUGACGGGGGCCCGCACAAGCGGAGGAACAUGUGGUUUAAUUCGAUGAUACGCGAGGAACCUUACCCGGGCUUGAACUGCAGGAGAAGGAUACAGAGAUGUUGACGCCCUUCGGGGCUCCUGUGGAGGUGCUGCAUGGUUGUCGUCAGCUCGUGCCGUGAGGUGUCGGCUUAAGUGCCAUAACGAGCGCAACCCUUUUCAUUAGUUGCCAUCAGGUAAUGCUGGGCACUCUGGUGAUACUGCCACCGUAAGGUGUGAGGAAGGUGGGGAUGACGUCAAAUCAGCACGGCCCUUACGUCCGGGGCUACACACGUGUUACAAUGGGGCAUACAGAAGGCCGGUUGCACGCAAGUGCGAUCCAAUCUAUAAAGUGUCCCUCAGUUCGGAUUGGGGUCUGCAACCCGACCCCAUGAAGCUGGAUUCGCUAGUAAUCGCGCAUCAGCCAUGGCGCGGUGAAUACGUUCCCGGGCCUUGUACACACCGCCCGUCAAGCCAUGAAAGCCGGGGGCGCUUGAAGUCCGUGACCGUAAGGAUCGGCCUAGAGCGAAACUGGUAAUUGGGGCUAAGUCGUAACAAGGUAGCCGUACCGGAAGGUGCGGCUGGAACACCUCCUU
This 1500-nucleotide ribosomal RNA is filed under the name uncultured bacterium. RNAcentral's name for it is "partial 16S rRNA". It matches the Rfam family "Bacterial small subunit ribosomal RNA". The record is from RNAcentral.